GUUGAGCACGCACAUGGCUGUUAUACACGGACAACUUCUAGAACAAUUGUUGUUGAGUACGCACAUGUCAAGGAAUACCGUUUUCUCCGCCGAAUAAGUCUAAAACAACGUCGCAUUGGCAUGUUCUGUACUCGUUUUACAUGAGCCGGAUAGAGGACAGACUGUACAUAUAACCUCGAAGCGGGCAUAAAACCCUAUAGCUACAGACACCAACUCAAACACAUUUCAACUCACAAGAGAUCAGGCAAGAUGUGCACCAACAGAUACAGAUGAACACCCACGUUGCAACAGUAACAAGAAAGAGCCUAAGACUAAGUCACUGAGCGAGAUGCAGAUGUUGUACUAUGCCAAACAGAACAGCUUUGCAGACAAACAAGAAAAGUUCUACGAAAGAAUCACAGUACUGACUGAUAUUCUCAUAAAACAAAU
Dreissena polymorpha is the source of this 429-nucleotide long non-coding RNA. RefSeq lists it as uncharacterized. Lineage: Eukaryota; Metazoa; Mollusca; Bivalvia; Myida; Dreissenidae. The transcript is spliced from 4 exons. The record is from RefSeq and is a predicted model, not a curated record.